RNAcentral lists this transfer RNA (63 nucleotides) under uncultured Ferdinandcohnia sp. It matches the Rfam family "tRNA", at positions 6 to 65 of the family's 71-position model. From Rfam's summary of the family: Transfer RNA (tRNA) molecules are approximately 80 nucleotides in length. Their secondary structure includes four short double-helical elements and three loops (D, anti-codon, and T loops). Lineage: Bacteria; Bacillati; Bacillota; Bacilli; Caryophanales; Bacillaceae. The record is from RNAcentral.
AGUAGCUCAGUAGGAUAGAGCGACAGCCUCCUAAGCUGUAGGUCGUUGGUUCGAUUCCAAUCU